UGCCCAAGAGAUCGGGAUAACACCUGGAAACAGAUGCUAAUACCGGAUAACAACAGAUGAUGCCUAUCAACUGUUUAAAAGAUGGUUNUGCUAUCACUCUUGGAUGGACCUGCGGUGCAUUAGCUAGUUGGUAGGGUAACGGCCUACCAAGGCGAUGAUGCAUAGCCGAGUUGAGAGACUGAUCGGCCACAUUGGGACUGAGACACGGCCCAAACUCCUACGGGAGGCAGCAGCC
This 235-nucleotide ribosomal RNA is filed under the name uncultured Lactobacillus sp. Its description in RNAcentral is "partial 16S ribosomal RNA". It matches the Rfam family "Bacterial small subunit ribosomal RNA", at positions 127 to 355 of the family's 1533-position model. The record is from RNAcentral. Lineage: Bacteria; Bacillati; Bacillota; Bacilli; Lactobacillales; Lactobacillaceae.